Molecule: long non-coding RNA, 1143 nt
Organism: Rosa rugosa (rugosa rose)
Lineage: Eukaryota; Viridiplantae; Streptophyta; Magnoliopsida; Rosales; Rosaceae
Exons: 6
Source: RefSeq, a predicted model, not a curated record
CACGCUCGAUCUCAAGAAAACAAAGACUGUGGACUACGUGGGAGGUGAUUGGACCAGAUAUGGGUUCACGAAACUUUACCCCUAUCUCAAUUUACAGUCAUACGAAAGGAGAACCCAAAACCAAGAGAGGGAGUACUACAGAAGUCCAAGCAAUUUGGGACAGGGAAACAAUGGAGUGUGUCUUUCGUAUUUGAAUCUCUGAUGAUUAUAAGGGUUUGGAAAGAUGCAUCUUUAUAUGGUGAUGAACUUCAACAGUAAAAAGGGGGAAGAGAUAGAUCAAAGAACGAACACAAAAUUUGAGCAAUGGAGAGGCACUGAAUCUCUUAAUUUGGUUGAAUGGUAUUGUACUUAUUGUUCUGGUGCCUAAAGGGUGAAUUACUAACUGCCACAUAGAAUAGGCCUUGAAGAUCAAGCCUGUGCAUUUGAAGAAUCAUUUGGCUUUCAAAGUCCACAAUCUAUAUGGAGUAUGGAAAGUUAAAACUUGGUUUAAUUACAAAGGCUGUUUAUUACAAUUGGAGAUUUUGUAAUGCAUAUUGCAACUUCAAAGUUUUGAUUUGUUCUCUUUGAUGUAGCUGACAAUGGUUGAUGAUUACUUUUCCUAACUUUAUGAGAAAUCAAGUUUCAUAUGCCCAUGUGAAUUUUGGUGCCUAUAAUAAUGUCUUUUCUACUAAAGCAUGAUAAAAGUUUAUAAGUUCCAGGUUUGCUUAAGUUGAUAAAAGUUUAGGUUGUUAUCGUUCUCACAUUAGCUGCUAGCCAUUGCGGCCUUAAUCUACUCGGAAUCCGUAUAUAUAUUUGCCCAUGUUUUGGUUUAGUGAAGUUUUUUAUGGUUGCUACUUUUUUUCCCAGGAUCAUGUGCUUCCUUCCAUUUUGGAUCUUUACUUGGGUUUUCAGAGCAUUUUUCUCAAUUGUAUUUGCAUUUUGUUUUGUGAUCUUACAGUUUUAGUUUUAUGUUCAUUGUAAUUUUUUUUCAUAAGCGGUAAAGUUGAUGUCCUCCUUCUAUUAUACUUUUUUUCCUUUAUAUGUUAAAAAAAAAUGGAGGAAGGGUUGCCGGGUAUUAUUGGAGUGUGUGGAUGCAUGCUUUCCAUCCCUUUAUACUUUCACCAAUUUGAGAAGAUCAACAAGUCGAUAUUACUCGAGAGAAAU